AACGCAUAUUGCGCCCUUUUCCGAAGGGCAUGUCUGUUUGAGGGCACCAUUUAACAAAUAAUGUGCGGGUUGCGUGUCAUGCGCGACUGCGUACACGUUGAUGAGCUUUUCCGGAAAACUUCGGUUUUCUGGUGGCGCGUAAUGAACAGCGCGGACUUUUUUCUUCGAUUCGAAUGUAGUAAGUAAAAUUCGACAUUUGGGUUGUUCAAAAGAGCUGCGCACUGGGUGUGGCGCUGUAACCCCAAUGCCACUCUUUCCCUCUGGAAAGAAAAAUCAAAUUCAGGGCCUCAAAUCAGACAAGAGUACCCGCUGAACUUAA
This 319-nucleotide unclassified non-coding RNA is filed under the name uncultured fungus. Its description in RNAcentral is "partial contains 5.8S ribosomal RNA, internal transcribed spacer 2, and large subunit ribosomal RNA". The record is from RNAcentral. Lineage: Eukaryota; Fungi.